GUCAAUGAUGAGAACCUUAUAUUGUCCUGAAGAGAGGUGAUGACUUAAAAAUCAUGCUCAAUAGGAUUACGCUGAGGCCCAACCUAGGGGAGAAUUUUGGAAGAGGAUUAUGGGAUCCCAAGGUCCCCAACAAGGCCACUGCAUUUUGGGCUAGAGACCUGGAGGCUCUUAAGAGCAUCUGGAGGUGGCCCAACCUGUCUCUGCUCCUUCGUGAUGCAGCCCAGGCUCCCUGUGUGGGAUUGGUGUUGGUGCUCCAUUUCCCUGGCAUGGGGAAUGUUGGUGGCUCCUUCCUGAGCUCCUGUUCUCGCCUUGUGUCUUUCAGUGAGCUCUGCCACCCAGGACAUCCCCCUGGCAUUGACUGGCAUAGAUGCUGACCCUGGAGGAAGACUUGUGUCGGGCCCCCAGGCCCCAGGCCAGUGUCCAUCAGCCAGGUGCUCAGCUCCCAGUGCGCUGAAGCUCAGACCCUUCCUGGCACCCUGGUGUCCAGCACUGAGCUGUGUGAGCUUUUCCACCCAGGUGGGCCCCCUGGCAUUGACCGACAUAGAUGAUGAGACUGGAGGAAGACUUCCAUUGGGCCCACUUUUCCUGGGCCAGUGUCCAUCAGCCAGGUGCUCAGCCCCUGGUGUACUGAAGCUCCAGCCUUUCCUGGUGCCCCAGUCUUCUGCACUAAGCUGUGUGAGCUCUUCCACCCAGGAGGGCCCCUUGGCAUUGACUGGCAUAGAUGGUGAGACGGGAGGAAGACUUGUGUUGGGCCUGCUGUUCCUGGGCCAGUGGCCAUCAGCCUGUUGCCCAGCCCCUGAGGCGCUGAAGCUCAGGCCCUUCCUCACACCCUGGUCUCCUGCACUAGCUGUGUGAGCUCUUCUGCCCAGGUGGGGCCCAUGGCCUUACACGACAUAGGAGCACGCAUUUCUUGAAGUCCUGCAAAGGUGAUGGUGGUCCAGACAGGAGAGGGUUCCUUCAGCCCAACAUAGCGCAGCUCCCAGCUGAAACUCGGAAGGCUGGUCAGGCCUCGAGGACUGCCCAGGCCACAUGAGGGUUUGGUGGCCGGGAGGGCCAAUGAUGCUCUGCGUCUGUGUUGGAUCAGUGUUCUUCAUGGAUUCCAUCACGUGGGUAUCCCCUACCCACCUUCCCCUUGCUCAUACGUGAGGCCCUGGUUGGACACAUGUCCUUCUCCUGUCACCCCAGAUGGUGAGCCUUGAGGAAGACUUGUAUUGGGCCCCCACAGGCCCCAGGCCAGUGUCCGUCAGCCUGGUGCUCACCCCCAGUGUGCUGAAGCUCAGACCCUCCGUGGCACCCUGGUCUCCUGCACUGAGCUGUGUGAACUUUUCCUCCCAGAUGGGCCCCCUGGCAUUGACUGGCAUAGAUGGUGAGACCGGAGGAAGACUUGCAUUGGGCCUGUUGUUCCUGGGCCAGUGGCCAUCAGCCUGUUGCCCAGCCCCUGAUGCGCUGAAGCUCGGGCCCUUCCUCGCGCCCUGGUCUCCUGCACUGAGCUGUGUGAGCUCUUCUGCCCAGGUGAGGCCCAUGGCCUUAAGCGGCAUAGAUGGUGAGCCUGGAGGAAGACUUGUAUUGGGACCCUACAGGCCCCAGGCCAGUGUCUGUCAGCCUGGUGCUCAUCCCCCAGUGCGCUGAAGCUCAGACCCUCCCUGGCACCCUGGUCUCCUGCACUGAGCUGUGAUGGUGAGUCUGGAGGAAGACUUGUGUUGGACCCCCACAGGCCCCAGGCCAGUGUCCAUCAGCCUGGUGCUAAUCCCCCAGUGCUCUGGAGUUUGGACCCUCCCUGGCACCCUGGUCUCCUGCACUGAGCUGUGUGAGCUCUUCCACCCGGGCGGGCCCCCGGCAUUGACUGGCAUAGGUGGUGAGCCCGGAGGAGGACUUGCGUUCGGCCCGCUGGUCCCAGUGUGUCCGGAAUUGGUGGGUUCUUGGUCUCACUGACUUCAAGAAUGAAGCUGCGGACCCUCGCUAUGAUGAUAUGGAAGAAAAGCACUCUUUGGCCUGUUGUGACUGGGACAGUUGACAGCACCCAGGUGUCCUUUAAUGAAAAUGCUCUUGACACCAAUGCAUCCUAGCAUCACAGCUUCAGGAAGCCUUCUCAAGUGUGCAUGGGGAGUACUAUGUCUUUCAUCAAUAAUGAAAUCUUCUGAUUUGUAAGACAUGCUGCCAAGAGAUGUGCCAUUCUAUUAUAAAAGAUCAGUAGCUUCCUUUACCGACGUGUAUAUUCUAUCUAGAACAUUGAGCUAUGGAAGACUCCCACCUAAGGGAAUUAGUUUUACACCUUCAGAUAAAGACUGCUGAGAAGAGCACCCUCUGGUGUUGUCACAGAGGCAAGUGCUACCGCACAGGCAUGCUGCAGUGAAUUUAACUGAUCCUCUGUCCCUGCAACCGUUGUUUAAGGAUGCUAUUCUGAAAAGACUGUGGAGGAAGAAAACCCUUUACCCUGUUGUUCAGGGAGAAACUGACACCACUCAACUGCCUGGCACUGAAAAUGUGGCAUCCAGUCCACUUUACCAUCAGUGUUUAAGGAAACCAUCUCUGAUAAGGAUGACUGAGGAAGAGUACUCUUUGGCUUGUUGACACCAGCACAGCUGACACACCCAGAUAUCUGUUUGGUCUCCUGUGAACUUUCAACCAGGAUUUAAGGAUGCCACUCUGGUUAAAAGCUGAAACAACUUCAAGGAAACUUCAGGGAAAAGAGAAGGCCUGGAAUCUGAUCCUCCACUUCAGAGAACAGGGGUGGUGGAGUCUAUGGCCCUUCUCCUUGAAUCUGAGUGAAAUUAGUGAGUCUUUCAAUCCAAAGACUACAGUCAUACCUCAACUAUCUACAGAGGACUGGUUCCAGGACUCCCAUGGAUCCCAAAAUCCAAGGAUGCUUCGAAUCCCUUAUAUAAAAUGGCAUGGUAUUUGCAUAUAACCUACAUGCAUCUUCAAAUAUGUUAAACCAUCUCUAGAUUACUUAUAAUACCAAAUACAAUGUAAUGCUAUGUAAACAGUUGUUACAAUGUAUUGUCAAAGACAAGCUCUCCUUGCCAAUCCCUGACCAAAUGAGAGAUUCAUGAGCAAAAUAAAUAGUUGCUGAUAUUUAAGGCACUAAGUUUGGGGCAAUGUAUUACACAGCAAUAAAUAACUGGAACAGCAUAGUAAAUUCUAGUUAAAAAUACUAAACUACUAAGUUUUAGUUAACAUACAUGCUCAAGUUAAGGGUGUGGUAUACUAACAACUGCAACUUACUUUGAAAAGCAUAAAAAAAGACACUAGAAGAAGACAGGAUGGAUAGAUGGACAAGAUAGAAGACAAUAACAAAUAGAACAAAAUGUUGUGAAAUUAUAUUCUACAAUUAUUUUAAAGUCUGUGUGGUUUGAAAAAUUGUACGAUAAAAUGAAGAGUGAAAUAAAGACAUUUCCAUACAAACAAAAGCUGAAAGAUUUUGUAGCCAGUAGACCUAUACUUUAGAAAUGUUUAAGAAAUUUUUUCAAGUAAAAGGAAAAUAACACCAGCAACAAACUUGGAUCUACAAAAAGGAAUCUCCACAAAGAAAAAUAAAUAAAAAUGGUAAAUAUGAAGGUAAAUAUAAAGGAAUGUUAUUCUUAGUUUUUAAGUUUCUUCGUAAGACAACUGGCCUUUGAAAGAAAUAGUUUCAAACGCUGCUGUGGAAUCUAUAACACAUAUAGAAGUAAAAUGUUAAGAUCAUAAUACCAAAAAGAAUGAGGGAGAGUAAAUGGAUGUAUACUAUUCCAAAAUUCUUACAUUAUACAUUAAGAGGAAUAAUAUUUUUGAAGGUAGAUUGAGGUAAGUUAAAGGUGCAUAUUGUAAAUCCUAGAAGUAUCACUGGGGGGAAAAAAAACAGAGGGACAAGCUAAUAAUGGAGACAAUACAAAAUUCCAAAAAUGCUCCAUUAACCGAAAAGAAGGCAGAAAAGGAAGAAAAGAUUAGACAAAUAGAAAACAAAUAGUGUCUUAAACACAAUUAUAUUGCCAACUGCAAUAAAUGUAAAUGGACUUAAUCAAAAAGCAACGAUCGUAAAAAGUCAAUCUGAAAGCAAGAUGCAACUAUAUGCUAUCUAAAAGAAAGACAUUAAAUGACCAAUAAGCUGAAAAUAAAAACACAGCAAAAUGAUAUAAUGUGCAAAAAUUAAUCAUAAGAAAGGAAUGGAUACACUAAUAUCAAAGUAGACUUUAGAUAAGGAACAUUACCAGCGAUAAACAGAGACAUUUCAUAAUGAUAAAGACAUCAAUUAAUCAAGGAGAUCUAACAGUCCUAAAUGUGAACACACCUAAGGACACAA
Molecule: long non-coding RNA, 4279 nt
Organism: Homo sapiens (human)
Lineage: Eukaryota; Metazoa; Chordata; Mammalia; Primates; Hominidae
Gene: SNHG14
Product: small nucleolar RNA host gene 14
Source: Ensembl